CACAAUCUGAGCCGAAGGCGGAUGCUUAACCGACUGAGCCACCCAGGUGCCCUGUAGGUGCACCUUUUUUUGUCUGGUUCUUUCACUCAGCCUGAGAGCUUGGAGAGCUGCCCACAUUGUUGCAUGUAUCAACAGUUAAUUUUUAUUGCUGAAUUGUGUUUCACUGUGUACCAUAAAUUACUUAUCUGUUCACCUGUUGAUGGACAUUUCUGGCUAGGGCAGAUAAAGCUGCUAUGAACACGCGUUGUCUUCCUUUCUCUGGGAUGCUUACCUCGGAGCUGCAUGGCUGGGUCAUAUGGCAAGCGGACGUUUCACUUCUGGAGAAACUGCCCAGCCCGUUUCCAAAACAGAGGAGAGCAUCCUUGACAACACUGGGUACGGUCAGUCUUUUUUGUUUAGACGUCCUAGGAGGGGCGUAGCGCUAUCUCACUGUGGUUUUAAUUUGCACGUCUCAUGGCCGAUGAAGGGCUGCGCCGCGGUGCUGGGAGGAAGCCAGGCAGCAGCGGGCAGAGCUCACGUGUAGGGGUUCAGCCGACGACCAGCCUCCACUGCUGGACAGGUCAUGUAUUGCCAGGCAAAAUGCUCUGCCCCUCUGAGCCUGCUUCCUACCCUCCAAGCUGGGGUAACACCGUCUCUCAAACAGGUGAAGAAACUGAGUAACAAAUAACUUACCCAGGUUCAAGUAGCCAGCCAAAGCCAUGUGCUUGCUUCGGCAGCACAUAUACCAAAGCCAGAACAGGAUUAGAACCCACAUCUGCCUGAUUCCAGAACCCUUGGCCUUUCCUUGCACUUACUGUCUCGAUUCUGGACAUCCCACAUGUGACCAGUGGCCUCUGGUCAGAGCUCAGUUUCCUGACCAUGGCUACGCCACAGCCUUCUUCCUGUUGGCCCUACAGGAAUUCAACCCAAGUAUUCCAGAAACAACUACACUCUAAAAAAAAUUACAUAGCUGUGGGGCAGGGGUCGGCCUCUGUCACGGGGCUGGGCCCCAACAUUUUGCUCUCGGGGAACCUGGAUGGGGACGGGCAAAGACACGCCUCAGGUCAGCAGUGGCACAGGCUCUCCUGACUCCAAGUCACCCACUAAUGCUCUUCUCCCUGAAGACCCCACCCUUGCCAGGAACUGGAGAACAAACAACAAUAUAACACAUUGUCUCCAGGGCUUAUGAAUGUCCCUGCCUGAGGGGAAAAGAUGGAGCGAAGGGAAAAGCACUAGAUUCUUGUCAAAAAUGAGGAAAACCAAUGGUUAUUCCACAAGAAAGUCCUCAAGCUCACAGAGGAAGCCAACAAGCAGAGCCCCAUGGGACUCCGGGGAGGACAAAGAGCCAGCUCCAGACUCUGCUGUGCAUAUGUCAGCGGGUAGAAUGAGGCCAGGGAGGAUAUUAUGGGCAUAUUUUUUAGUCUUUCUGGAAAGUUUAGGUCUAGUCACUUAUCUGUGCCUGGUAAGAGACUCAGGAAACAAAGAGUUGCCUUUGGGGUAAAUCCCCAGCAGUGCAGUUGCUGGGUCUUAGGGCAGGUCUAUUUUAACUCUUUGAGGAACCUCCACACAGUUUUCCAG
Long non-coding RNA from Canis lupus familiaris (dog), 1557 nucleotides. RefSeq lists it as uncharacterized. Lineage: Eukaryota; Metazoa; Chordata; Mammalia; Carnivora; Canidae. The record is from RefSeq and is a predicted model, not a curated record. The transcript has 4 exons.